Molecule: long non-coding RNA, 4693 nt
Organism: Lolium perenne
Lineage: Eukaryota; Viridiplantae; Streptophyta; Magnoliopsida; Poales; Poaceae
Source: RefSeq, a predicted model, not a curated record
UUCUUUUAUGCUUUCUCUUCUUCCUCCUCACCCUAGGUCUCUGUCCGGCCUCUCCCCAAUCUCCUCCGCCGCCGCGCGCCGCCCAUGCCCCGGCGGAAGCUGCCCGUCGUCCCCCUCGCCGGAGGACGCUCUCCGGUGAUGCUGCUCACCGGUGACGCCCCGCAAAAUCCUGCUCUACCGGAUCCUGCCGCAGCGGCGGUCCUUUCGUUCGUGCCUCCCGCGGAAACCCCUAUCUAGGCUAGGACGCCGGCAUGCUCCUGCUGUUCCCCCACGUCUCUUGCAUGGCUUCGCCGUUUCCGGCCUCCUCCCGCACCACGGCGCCCCUCGCCGACCGGUCCACAGUGUAGUUCGCGUCCGGCUACCCGAUGGUGUGGUCGUGACGUGGUGGUGCUGCUAUGGGCCUGCUGUUUCCUCCCACACUCGGUGUGGUGGUAGGCUGCGGCUCACCCCAACUUCGACUACCUUGACCUACCAUUACGUUCCUCACUCGGCUCCCUCUCCCCUGGUGAGUUCCUCUGUCCCCCAUCGGUAUAUGAACAUGGCCAUGGAGCGAAAUAAAAUGCAGUCUAGGAGAGGUAAAUUAAAACAGUAAGAAAGGCCCCUGAUGUGCAAUAUCAAAUACGAGUAGAAUAUAUGAAUACGAUGUUCAACAGAGGCUCAGGUUGAUGCCAGGAAAGUUAAGAGACUUCGAAUUUCUCUUCCCGUACAUACCAGGUGCCAAGAAUGAAAAACUUGGACGAAUACUGGCUUGAUUAGUGAACUGUUGCAUUAAAUAUGUUUUGCUAGGCUACCUUUUGCACGAGCAAAUUCUGAUGUCUUUGCUUACUGUUUAAUGGUUGUUUGUGUUCUGGAAACGUUUUGAUUUCCCGAUUCCAAGCUAAACUAUUUAUUUUUGUAGUCAACAAAGGUACUAAGUUAGGUACAGCUAGAAGUACUGUUCUUUUUUUUUACACUUAAAUUGGUUUGAUGAAGUUAAAUUUAGUGUAAAUAGUUUAUAUCGUGGUAGACGUCAUAUGAAAAUUCAUCAGUUAGGGCAUUUAGUGUUUAGAUCAGACUAGAGUUAUGUUUUGCAUGAUAGCUCUUUGGUUUGUGGAGGCAUUUGUAUAUGCAUACCACCAUAAAUCGAGAAUGGCUGUAUUUAGUCUGGUCCUGACAUCUUUGAAGAUGACGUGCAUACUGUUGCUUAUUGCAUAUGAGUCAAAUCACUGAUUUGCAUCUUCCUUAAGAUGUGUUGCCAGUUCUACAUCUGCACAUUCCUGUAUUCUGCAUGAAUUGGGUAUUGUUCAUUCGAUUGCUUAGCAUGCAACCUAGCAGCCUAUCGAUGAGGAAUUUAGGCUGCUAUUUAUGGGGUGAGAUUUCGGGGAUAUGUGUGGUUCAAUUUCUUUUGUGCUCAUUUGUUGAUGGUUGCUAUUAUAGUAUUCGGGGUUAUCUUAUUGCAAUACUGGAAUUAUCUGGUUGCUUUUAGGUGCGAGGAACUAACUUAGCUAAAAUAUUUUCUUUGCCAUAUAAUUUUUUUUUGUAUUCUCUAGCAAGUGUAUGUGCUAUGAAAUUAAAGGUUCUUGAGAUGGUUGAUGAUAUAAGCCAUAUUCCCCGGCUAUAUGAUUUACUUCAAUUUUCGUCAGCCAGAACAAGGUCAUAUAGAUCCUCUCUCCGCACUAUCUUGUUUGUAACUUGAGUUAACUGGUUGAAUAAAAAAGUCUGACUGAGCAAAAUUGAGAUUUAUUCAUGCAUCGUAUCUUCUGGAAUAACUGUUAGGUCCACAUGACUUCUUUGAUAUUAUUUUAAGUUGUAAGCCUGGUCACUGACCCAGCUGUUGAGGUCACUCCCGGCUGGGGCGUGCACAAGCGUUGGAUAUUGGAUUGAAGAGCACCUAGGUCAUCGACCGGGGGUGGUAAGCUGAUUUUUUUUCCGCGGUUCGGGCUUCUUCCAACAACCGAUUGGGCUCACCCACAACCCUUGAAUUUGUUUAUUUGUGUGCUAAAGACAGUUUUAUAAGGAGAAAAGCAUGGCCCUUAUGCUUCACUGAUAUUUAUAUCUGAAUAUUUCAGACCAAAGUGUUGCCAAAGGCUUGAAGAUUUAAUAUCAUCUACAGCUCUGCACGCACAAUUUAUUUAUGGGGUCGCUUUGGUCUAUAUUAUAUGUGUUCUUAGAGGCACACGAGAGGAAAUGAGUGUGUAAUACUAUGAAGAGGAAUUGGUUUUAGUACCAAGUAACCACAAACAAUAUAGCUAUGACUCUUUUUGCUUAUCCUAGAGCGUUUUAUCAGGUGUCCCCUGCUUUUUAGUGUUGGAAUCUCAUGUUAUCUGGAUACAAUGACUAGGUAGAGUACAACGUAGGCUAGAAUUUGGAUAUAAAUUCGAGCCUUAUGUUUUUGAUUUAUUGACCACAUUGCAUGUAACAAUAUGGUGCCCCAACUUGUUGAGACUGGUGGUGCACAACAUUUUGUGUUUUACUGCUACUAGGGGUGAAUCAUGCGUGGUGCAUUUUACCCAGCGGGGUGGCAUGUUCGUGGCAUCUUUCCAUUUUUUCUUAUUUUGUGGUUGUUUGUUCUGUUCUCCUAUGUUGUCAGCCCUUAUUUUUCUGAAUGUGUUGUUUGUCUGUGCAGUGUUGUUCUACGUUUGUUGGUUCGUGGCACGUGGUUGUUGGUAUGUACUGAUUUUGGUGCUUCUGUUGGUGGUUGCGGCGUUGUCUUUUCCUGCAUCUCGUGAGGUGGUUUGCUUUCCAUGUCCGAUUGGUGAGUUGUUCUUGGUUUUGCUGCUUAUUGAUUGGCUGGCAUUCUUUAGUUUUGUUGUCGUGUGAUGGGUGACAAUGCUUCUGGGUUCAGGAGCACCGCAUCAUAUCCUCCCUAAACGCGAUGGUGACCUGGGGUUUUCGUUAAUUGGUAGAUGCUUGGUGCCUCCACCGGUGCACUCCACUUAUGCUACACCAACAAUGCGGCGAAUGGAGCUCUUUGGGCUUCACUGCAUGCAUGGUCCUCUUCUAGAUCCUCCCUGAUGCAUUGUCACCGCGCUUGCCUUCAUUUUCAUUGGGGCCAUGGAAGAUUUAGGAGGGGUUGCUCUAGGGGAAAAUCUUCCCUAGACAUUGAACGUGGACCUUAUUAAGUUUAUAUAGGUGGCCUUCAUUAAGUUUAUAUAGGAAGGGUUACCAAUACAGUUUUAGUAGCACCUUAAUACUGAUAUUUAAUUUUUGUUUGGAUAUGCCAAAAGUUUUUUUGGUGUUCAAUGUUUUCGAAUAGUCCUUUGCUCUCAUCAUAUUUUGUGUAGAUUAAGUUGUUCCAGGGGUAUCCUAUAACGUGAAACUAAAGUUAGGAGCAUGCAUGGGAGCUACCUAAGAUUCAGUUUGGGUCGCUGAAUCUUCUGUUCUAGGUUCAGAGGAAGUGUCAAAACAUAAUACUAAAUGUGUUGUUCAUCCUCCAAAAUCGACAAAUGCCAUCCAAAGGACCACAUGCAGUAAUAAAAAGGAAACUGUAAUAUCUAGCUUACCAAAUGGUGGGCCAGUGCAGGUCAAUGGAUGUACAAUUUUUUCUCCUAAUAAUGGUGUUCCCAAGAAUGUAAAGUCUGAAGCCACGGUCCCUUCAGCUGGGCCUGUUAGCAAUGUAAAGGAUACUGAAACGAUGGUUUCUUCAGCUGGCCCUGUCAGCGAUGUAAAAAGGACUGAAGCUCCAGUUCCUUCACCUGGUCCUGCCAACAUUGUAAAGAAGAGAGGAAACUACGGUUCUUUCACCUGCGCCUGCCAAGUAUAUAAAAAACAUCGAGGGUAUAUAUUGGCAUGUCAAACAAGAAUGUAAAGAAGACUGAAACUGAUGUUCACUCACCUGGUCCUAUUAACAUUGUAGAGAAGACUGAAUCCUGUCAAGAAUAUUAGAAGUUCAACACCACUUGGCAUGCCAUGGUUAUACCAUGAUGGGAUCAAGUGCACACACAACAACUGUUCAUCUAUGCGAGUAACUGAUAAUGAGAGCACAAAUGUUGAUGAUGUAUUAUUUAAACAACAAAGUCUAUCCUAACAAGCCAUUGGUUCCCACAGUUUGAAAAAUACAUGAAAUAUAUGUUUCCAGAAUGUUACUCCCUCCUAAUAUAAGACGUUUUGUCAGGCCAAUUUUGCUAGCCAAAAUGUCUUAUAUUAGUGAAGAGAGGAAGUACUUUGUAGGCUUCCCAUGAUUGCCUUUUGUUCAGAUUGUACGACUUGAGGAAUUGGAGUAUACCCAAGGUACUACUACUAAACGAAUAUGUUUUAUGGUCUGUCUGUGCUUCUUUCAUUCAUUUGUUUUGAAUACUGCUUCCAUUUUAGGUUGGGCACCCUACUUUUGAGUGCGUUCUGUCUAAAUAUUUCAUUGACUUUUGUUCUGAAUAUUGCCAUUUUAGGUUGGUCACCCUACUUUGAGUACGUUCUUUGAGCUCAUCUCUCAAUCUGAUGUGUGUGAUGAGUCUAGCCAUCCUACUGGCUAGAAUAUCUGCUCUGCCAAGGUUUGGUGUAAAAGGCUGGUUUUUGGAAUCGCUAUUUCAGCCGCUAGCAAUGUGACACUACAUUGCUGGAUGAUUUUUUUUUUCGUGCUCUCAUUCUGGGCUUCAUUUAGUUCGUAUUCAGGAUAUUCAAUUACUCCAUUGAACCAAUAUACAGAUCACGUUGGCGCAUGUCAAGUAAAUCAAGUUUGCAAUCUUUAUGGUUAAAGUGUAAUGUUGUGAGAGUGUCC